Molecule: ribosomal RNA, 852 nt
Filed under: uncultured Flavobacteriaceae bacterium
Lineage: Bacteria; Pseudomonadati; Bacteroidota; Flavobacteriia; Flavobacteriales; Flavobacteriaceae
Description: bacterial SSU rRNA
Rfam family: Bacterial small subunit ribosomal RNA
Source: RNAcentral
GCUAGCGGCAGGCCUAACACAUGCAAGUCGAGGGGUAACAGGAAGUGCUUGCACUUCGCUGACGACCGGCGCACGGGUGAGUACCGCGUAUACAAUCUGCCUCAUACUAGGGGAUAGCCCGAAGAAAUUUGGAUUAACACCCUAUAGUAUCUUUUUAAGGCAUCUUAUUAAGAUUAAAGGUUACGGUAUGAGAUGAGUAUGCGUUCUAUUAGCUAGUAGGUGUGGUAACGGCACACCUAGGCUACGAUAGAUAGGGGCCCUGAGAGGGGGAUCCCCCACACUGGUACUGAGACACGGACCAGACUCCUACGGGAGGCAGCAGUGAGGAAUAUUGGACAAUGGGCGAAAGCCUGAUCCAGCCAUGCCGCGUGCAGGAUGACUGCCCUAUGGGUUGUAAACUGCUUUUAUAUAGGAAGAAAAACUUUCUCGUGAGAAAGCUUGACGGUACUAUAAGAAUAAGGAUCGGCUAACUCCGUGCCAGCAGCCGCGGUAAUACGGAGGAUCCAAGCGUUAUCCGGAAUCAUUGGGUUUAAAGGGUCCGUAGGUGGACAAAUAAGUCAGAGGUGAAAUCCUGCAGCUCAACUGUAGAACUGCCUUUGAUACUGUUUGUCUUGAGUUAUUAUGAAGUGGUUAGAAUGUGUAGUGUAGCGGUGAAAUGCAUAGAUAUUACACAGAAUACCGAUUGCGAAGGCAGAUCACUAAUAAUUAACUGACACUGAGGGACGAAAGCGUGGGUAGCGAACAGGAUUAGAUACCCUGGUAGUCCACGCCGUAAACGAUGGUCACUAGCUGUUUGGACUUCGGUCUGAGUGGCUAAGCGAAAGUGAUAAGUGACCCACCUGGGGAGUACGU